CCUACGGGUGGCAGCAGUGGGGAAUAUUGCACAAUGGGCGCAAGCCUGAUGCAGCCAUGCCGCGUGUGUGAAGAAGGCCUUCGGGUUGUAAAGCACUUUCAGCGGGGAGGAAGGCGUUAAGGUUAAUAACCUUGUCGAUUGACGUUACCCGCAGAAGAAGCACCGGCUAACUCCGUGCCAGCAGCCGCGGUAAUACGGAGGGUGCAAGCGUUAAUCGGAAUUACUGGGCAUAAAGCGCACGCAGGCGGUCUGUCAAGUCGGAUGUGAAAUCCCCGGGCUCAACCUGGGAACUGCAUUCGAAACUGGCAGGCUAGAGUCUUGUAGAGGGGGGUAGAAUUCCAGGUGUAGCGGUGAAAUGCGUAGAGAUCUGGAGGAAUACCGGUGGCGAAGGCGGCCCCCUGGACAAAGACUGACGCUCAGGUGCGAAAGCGUGGGGAGCAAACAGGAUUAGAUACCCUAGUAGUC
Molecule: ribosomal RNA, 465 nt
Filed under: uncultured Klebsiella sp.
Lineage: Bacteria; Pseudomonadati; Pseudomonadota; Gammaproteobacteria; Enterobacterales; Enterobacteriaceae
Description: bacterial SSU rRNA
Rfam family: Bacterial small subunit ribosomal RNA
Source: RNAcentral